ACCCCCGUGAGAAUGCCCCCCAACCUCCCCAACCGGAGACGAGGAGCCGGUAUCAGGCACAACAUCUUUAGCCCAUGACGCCUUGCUUAGCCACACCCCCAAGGGAACUCAGCAGUGAUAAACAUUAAGCCAUAAGUGAAAGCUUGACUUAGUUAAUGUUAAGAGGGCCGGUAAAUCUCGUGCCAGCCACCGCGGUUAUACGAGGGGCCCGAGUCGAUAGCCCUCGGCGUAAAGGGUGGUUAGGAGACGUACUUAAAACUAAAGGUAAAUAACUUCAAAGCUGUUAUACGCUCAUGAAGUCAAGAGAAUCAACUACGAAAGUGACUUUAUAACUUCUGAAUCCACGAAAGCUAUGGCACAAACUGGGAUUAGAUACCCCACUAUGCUUAGCCCUAAACAUAGAUACAAAUCUACUAUUUUAUCCGCCUGGGGACUACGAGCAUCAGCUUAAAACCCAAAGGACUUGGCGGUGCUUUAGAUCCACCUAGAGGAGCCUGUUCUAGAACCGAUAAUCCCCGUUAAACCUCACCUUUCCUUGUCUCUUUCCGCCUAUAUACCGCCGUCGUCAGUUUACUCUGUGAAGAACCUGCAGUAGGCACAAUCGGUACAGCCCAAAACGCCAGGUCGAGGUGUAGCGUAUGGAAAGGGAAGAAAUGGGCUACAUUCGAUAUUUUAUUGAAUACGGACGACACCCUGAAAUGAGUGUCUGAAGGAGGAUUUAGCAGUAAGCAGAGAAUAGAGAGCCCUGCUGAAACUGGCCCUGAAGCGCGCACACACCGCCCGUCACUCUCCCCGAGCUAAUAAACUUUUAUUAACUAAAAAACGAAACCUGUAAAGGGGAGGCAAGUCGUAACAUGGUAAGUGUACCGGAAGGUGCACUUGGAUAAACU
Molecule: ribosomal RNA, 890 nt
Filed under: Halichoeres melanochir (orangefin wrasse)
Lineage: Eukaryota; Metazoa; Chordata; Actinopteri; Labriformes; Labridae
Description: partial 12S rRNA
Rfam family: Bacterial small subunit ribosomal RNA
Source: RNAcentral